Molecule: ribosomal RNA, 253 nt
Filed under: uncultured bacterium
Lineage: Bacteria
Description: partial 16S ribosomal RNA
Rfam family: Bacterial small subunit ribosomal RNA
Source: RNAcentral
UACAGAGGGGGCCAGCGUUAUUCGGAAUUAUUGGGCGUAAAGGGCGCGUAGGCGGCUCUGCGUGUCUUUCGUGAAAUCCCUCGGCUUAACCGGGGAACUGCAUCUGAUACUGGAUGGCUUGAGUUCGGGAGAGGGAUGCGGAAUUCCAGGUGUAGCGGUGAAAUGCGUAGAUAUCUGGAGGAACACCGGUGGCGAAGGCGGCAUCCUGGACCGACACUGACGCUGAGGAGCGAAAGCCAGGGGAGCAAACGGG